Molecule: long non-coding RNA, 916 nt
Organism: Peromyscus californicus insignis
Lineage: Eukaryota; Metazoa; Chordata; Mammalia; Rodentia; Cricetidae
Exons: 3
Source: RefSeq, a predicted model, not a curated record
UGAGUCUACCAUGUUAUGUUCUUAUUUGUUAAACCUUGGCCAUUACUCUAGACCUAAAAUGCUUUGGACCUAAAAAUAACUAGAGCUUGGGGUCAUCAUAAAAAAACAAAACUUGCUGGCAGAUUCUAAAAUCACAACUGGGAAAUUCCAUUACAUUAACUUUUAUAAGAUGUGAGCAAUGUGCUUUGUCAAAGCAAAAGACACCCUUCGGAGGAUUUUAUGGAUGAAAAGCAUGGUGACUUCUUGGAAGGGACCAAGGGGAAACUGAGCUGGAAGGAAGACAAAUGGAAGCGAAGAUGGAGGCUUACGUGAAAGGCAAGUACACUUGUUAUAGUCUGCAUGAUGUAAUUCUUUUUGAAGGGAAGCAAGCUUGCAAAGACAGGGCAGUGUCUCUCUCUCGUUUCUGAGGCAUGCAGGGAGAGAAGAAAAGGGGACGUGUACACGCUUCCACAAAUGAAAAGCACAGGAUGCGAAUUACAUUCUGCUAAUUGGCACAAGGGAUAAUGUAAAGAUCGAUCGCAGUUGUUCUGGAGGAAAACCCAAGGUUAUUCCUUACUGCAAGCUGAGUAAUGUAUUUGCCAAUUCCUGAAGAGGAGAAAGGAUGAACUGGCUCGGGAAGGACGAACGUGGGGAGAAGGUGUGAAGAGUGUUGAGGCAUAAAAUAUAACAUUAGGUUUUAACUUCUUCAAGGACAGUUUCUAAGCCUUCCAGAUAUUUUUAUCGCAUAGUAUGGAAACAUCUUCCUAAAUCAUAAAAGGGAAAAGAAGAAAGGAGACAGAAACAAAGGAAGCAUAAUGUGUUGAAGAUUUGUCUUGCUCAAAGUAUUUGUGUUUGUCCCUUAGUCCUCACAGCAACGCCAAUGGAUUAAAAAACGUUAAUUCAAGAUCACAAUAAAUAAAACAGCUCUGACAACUGA